Molecule: long non-coding RNA, 3429 nt
Organism: Leopardus geoffroyi (Geoffroy's cat)
Lineage: Eukaryota; Metazoa; Chordata; Mammalia; Carnivora; Felidae
Exons: 5
Source: RefSeq, a predicted model, not a curated record
CAUGACCUGAGCUGAAGUCAAGAGCCAGACACUCAACCAACUGAGCCACCCAGGCACCCCUUGCCUAUUUUUAUAUGUUAAAAUUUGCAUAUCCUUCUUUAUUAAGUUUUGUUCCAAUUACUUACUUGUCUUAGCUUGCCAAUAUUUUGCUCAAGUCUCUUCUUAUUGGUGGGAUUCUGAUUUUUUGCUAUGUCAUUUGUUAUUAGUAUCUAUUGCUGUUAUUUUUUUAUUAACAUUCAGAAAUGUUUCAUAUAUUCAUUGCAAAAUUAUGAAUUUACUAAACACCAUAAUUCUGCAACAUGCCAGACAAUUCAAAUCUACAGAGAGGAGCACCAUUGCCCCUCAUGUACCCAUCACCUUAGCUUUAAUAGUUCUUCACUCAAGGUAAGUACCGUUCCAUUUAUACACUUCUACCAGCACUCCACCUGCUUUCCCUGCAUUAUUUUGAAGGAAAUAAUAAAAUAAAACGGCCAAAUUUUCUUCUUUUUCCAUGCUUUCAAACAGGUUAACACUAAGAUUAUCUAACCUUUAAAAGUUUGUCAGAAUUCCCCUCAAAACCAUCUGGGUCUAGUGCUUUUUGGUUGUUGUUGUUAGCCAUGUCUCCUAUUUCUUCUUUGGUAAUUGUUCUGAGGUCAAAUUUGGUGGGCUGCACUUUUUCUAAAAGACCAUGUGUUUCAUCUAGUUUUUCAAACAUAUACAAAUAAUAUUAUAAAGCAUGUUUCUUUUGAUUUUAAGAAGUCCUCUAUUUUAUGGUUAAUUCCCUUUAUAUAUUUCAAUAUUAUAAACUUGUUCUUCUGCUUCUUAAAAGCCACUAUUGUGAAUGAAAAGAUAAUAAGCUUUAGACCAGGAGAAACAUUUGUAAGCAAUAUAUAUGAUGCAUUCAAAUAUGCACAUAACUAUGAAAACUAUAAUAAAACAAGCAGUCUAGUAAGAAAAAAUGAACAAAAAUUUUAGACAGGUCCACAAAAAAUAUAUGUGAAUAUCAAAUAAGCACACUAAAAGAGUCUCCAUAUCAUUAGUCAUCAAGAAUCAGAGUGGUGCAUGGAUGCCUGGGUCAGUUGAGUGUCCGACUCUUGAUUUUGGCUUAGGUCAUGGUGCCAUGACCCUCACACUCAUGUCCUUCAGUUGGUGGAUGGAUUUUUUUUUUUAAAUGCGGCAAAUAUAAUGAAAUAAUAUAAUGAAAUUAAUGAAAUACUUCUUAGGGAUUCAAAACAAAUGAACAAUUGACACAUACCAGAAGGAUGAAUCUCAGAUAUGCUUUGAUAGGUAAAAGAAGCCAGACUUAAAAAGCUAUGUGCUGAUAAUUCUGUUUGUAUGAUGAUCUGGAAUAGAUACACUUACAAGGAAGGAGACGACAUCAUUGGUGACCAGGUUAGGGGACUGGGAGAAGAGGUGACUAUGUGAGGAGCUCAAGGGGGGAUGAUGGAAUGUUCUGUAUCCUGAUUGUCAUAGUACUUGCACAACUCGAUGCACUUGUCAAGAGUCAUAAAACCAUGCAUCAGUAAGAGAUUAUAUUCACUGUAUGCAUAUAUAAAAAUAAGAAUAAAGUGGAUAGGUAUCAGGAUGGUAUAAAGGUAAAAACAAAUUCAAGGAAAACAAAAUAAAUACAUCAGAUAUCCCAUUUUUUGCUACAAAAUUGUUCUUACUCCUUCACACCCCUCUGUGUGCCAGCAGGCUGACCUUUUUAGGCAACAUCAACAUACUCCCUUUCCAAUAGUCUUUUGGUGGGCACAGCCACAUGGGACCCCCCAUCAUGAGAUCAGAGGGGUGAGGAAGGCAAUGUUAGGGUAUUGAUUCUCCUGGCUCCUUCCCUGUGGGACUGCCUCAGGCUGGCUGUGAUCUUCCACAAAUUACAAAAAUUCUUUUGGUCAUCCUAGCAACAUGAAUCUCCCCUUUCACUUUCCGGCAUUCACUUCUUCCUCUGAUCAUUUUUGAUCUAGCCAAGGUAACAAUUCCCACUGAUACUAGCCCUAGGGGAUUACCUCACAGAGGUAAGAGGUUUCCUUACCUCUAUCCAUACUUCUGUAAACAUUCUUCUAUUAAAACCUUUCAAAUCAUCCAAUUUAAAUUUGCCAUCCGUUCCAUGCAGAGAUCCUAACUAAUAAUAUAGUGAAUUAAGACUCACGAGAAUAAAUGUUCUGGGGACAGCAAGGAGGCCAGCUUCACUGGAUUAAGAAGCUAAAAUUUGAAUAACUGAGAAAUAAGGUAAAAUGCACAGAGUGAGGCCAUAAUCAGCAAGGUCACAAGAUCUAAAACUAGGUUACUCUUAAUUAUGUGGGGAAAAAUGAAACCAUUGGAAACUUCUGAACAGCAAAUUCAUAUUAUUAAAGUAAUACUUAAUAAAGAUCAGCUGUAUGCAAGAUGGAUUGGAGUGGAAAACAUGGAGUUUGGACGAACAAUUAAAAGAAUGAUAUAUGACACGUAAGGCGAAGGAAGCUACACAAUCAUUAUGCAGUGGAAAUGACAAGCAUAGAAAAUUAGACCUUGGAAAGUAAGUGGAUACAGGACAAGAAAGAAUAAGAGGAGCCAAAGAUGACUUUGCAGUCAAAGUCUGGGUGACUGGAAGAAUAAUGACGUUAUUAAAGGGUGACAUUUGUUGGGAGUACAGACUGAUUUGCAAAGGAAGAUGAUGCUUUAGAGGAAAAUCUCAAGUUGUUAACCCCCAUUGAGAACGAGCAAAUGGCUCAAUGUGAAGAAUUUAUGGAGUCUGAUUCCACAGACCACUGGGAAGAGAGGCUCCAAUCCCAGGAACAAGUUCACAGGUCUUCAGAGAAAGAGGAACCAUACUCAAGGAGCCAUUCUUGAGGAACUUCAUCUAAACCUGGUCCUAAUCGUAGAUAACUAGAUUGUGGACUUUGAGAUGAUGCCAUAAUGGGAUGAAACUGUGGUCAUCUAGCAAGAGUUGAAGACACCACAUGGAGAAGAUCUAAGACUACAUGGAGAAGACAAAGAGCCCCGCUGAGGUCAGCUUUCCAGACAUCCCCCUCCAAUUCGCAGGCAUAUGUGAUGCCUGUAGAUGCAGCAGACAUCUUGCAACAAUGAAGCAACCAGCAUGAAAAUAAGAAGCCAACACACCAAGGAUGACAAAAAAAAAAAAAAAAAAAAAAAAAAAAAAAGGAAAGAAAGAUCUGGGUCAUUGAUGACGUUGUUGAGCUUUCAAAUUGGCUGUCAGACCUCUUGUCAAGGACAUAAUAAACAUUCUUACUUAAGCCGCUGUUGGGACAGGCUUUCGGAUACUUACAGAGGAAUAAAAUGCUAACUGAUGUAGUUAUUUUUCAUUUCAUUAAAUACAUAAUGUAAUUGAUUAUAAGUUAUAUCAUUAUUUAAUUAGAUCAUUAUUUAAUAUACUGCUGAGCAAGAAAAUAAGCAGCAAGUUGCACAAAAUGAAAUGCCUCCUACCACUUAUCAUUUUUAUUUUAUAUUUCUGGA